UGUAAGCGUAUACCAAAGUUGUUGCAGUUAAAACGCUCGUAGUCGGAAUUUGGCAGUUCCGGAUGUGUGCACGUCGUGUGCGCACUUCGCGGGGAUUGCUUUUGUGGUCUUGCGUAGGAUGAGGCACUUUUAUUAGUGAACGUCCUCACGCAACCACUUUUUACUGUGAGAAAAUCAGAGUGCUCAAAGCAGGCAUUUGCCGUGAAUGUAUUAGCAUGGAAUAAUAGAAUAGGACUUGGUUCUAUUUUGUUGGUUUGUUGGGACUGAGUAAUGAUUAAGAGGGACAGUUGGGGGCAUUUAUAUUUCGGUGCUAGAGGUGAAAUUCUUAGAUUACCGAAAGACAAACUGCUGCGAAAGCGUCUGCCAAGGAUGUUUUCAUUGA
This 382-nucleotide ribosomal RNA is filed under the name uncultured eukaryote. Its description in RNAcentral is "partial 18S ribosomal RNA". It matches the Rfam family "Eukaryotic small subunit ribosomal RNA", at positions 592 to 976 of the family's 1831-position model. The record is from RNAcentral.